Molecule: long non-coding RNA, 2839 nt
Filed under: Linum usitatissimum (flax)
Lineage: Eukaryota; Viridiplantae; Streptophyta; Magnoliopsida; Malpighiales; Linaceae
Description: long non-coding RNA (LUSI_LNC007632)
Source: RNAcentral
AGAAAUCGUUGAAAAUCCAAACUAUUUCUAUAGUCGAAAGCAUGCUGGACUUCCCACCACCCAAUAUCUUGUUGUCGAUUUAAUGUCGAGCAAUAACCAUCAAAGUGAUUAAAUCGAACGGCCUUCAAAAAUUCAACUCCAUACCCAAACUUAUUACAUUUAACAAUUUCAUCAUUACAGAAUUAUAAUAAAAAUCCAUGCACAUCACACGAUCAAACUAAUUCAGCUUUAAACUCAACAAUUCCAUAGCUAUAAUCAGAUCGCAGUGAAGACGGAGACGACCAAACCGUAGAAGAAAACAAAUGCAACCCCCCAAGAGCCGGCGACAAAAUCAGGUCGGUGUUUGGACCCACCGGAGCUCCCUCCUGGGAGCGGCGUCGCUGAUGUCGAUGUAGCCGGCGUCGCCGUCGCCGUAGAAGCGUUGGUGAAUAUGGCUGCCUCCGGCGAGUUUGGAGCUAAGCCAAGGAGUCCUGUUACACCCAAAAAAGAAAUAUUAAGUACUAAUUAAAACCUCGUCCGGACCACAACCGAAUCACCCAACCCACCUCCAAGCCAAAUUAGUAUAAAUUUCCAUAUCUCAUCUAAGUCCACUUUUCUUACAUAUACAUUGACUCGGUGCAUUUCUACUCGGUUCUAUCGACUUUUCUCGACGAACCUGGGCAGUAGCUAACGCUGGCGUUGGCGAGCUGGCAAGUGGAAGGGAGCUGAAUCAACUUAGCCUCCUGCACGCCGAGGCUCCUGAACUGAGAACCACCGUUGUGAGUCUGCAUCAUGAUGUAACAUAAGCACUUGGGCUUGUUCUCCUUGGUGGCUUUGGUGUUGUCACAGCACUCUUUGGAAGGUGAAGCUUGCUUGCCUUGUGCAAACGCCAAGCAUGGCAUCACCCCUUGGAUCUCCUUGCUGCAGUCCUUCGCCAGAUUGUCGUCGGAGCCUUCAUGAGUGACGGCGGAAGCGGCGGUGAGGGAAAGGCAGAUGAGGAGGAGGAAACUAGUGGGUUUCAUGUUGAUGGUUGAUGGGAGAAUUGAUGGGUUUGUGAAGGUUGGGAUAUAUGGGGGUAGUGGAGUUGAUUCAAUUUUGUGGGUUGGUUUUUUCAAUGGAGUAUGUUUAUGGUUUGGAAUCGGAUCGGAUCGGAUCGGUCAGGGGCGGUGAUAGGGGGUAAUUGGGGUUUGUUCUUGCUCACCUAAUUUUCGAUCCCAAGCAUUAGAAUUUGUGUAUAUGUUUAUGAUUUUUUUGAAUCCGGCUCGUUAGUUCAAUUCCGUGCUUGGUCAUGUUAGAAUUAGAGGGAGUCACAAAGAGGUCGGACAUUUUUUAGUUCCAAUUACCAAACCAUAUUAUAAGAUUUUGAUGAUUUUGUAAUUCGCCUUGUGAUAAAUUUUUUAUUAAAAUUCGUCCCAAAGCAUGUUAUAAUCCUGGUUCUUCCCUCUUGAAUUCGAUAGACACUAGUCCGUUAUGGUUCAUUUGGAGCAGCAAUGGAGACCAAUCUAAUCUCGAUUCAAGCACGAUCCGAGCGUUCUGCUCUGGUUUGAUCCUCGAUCAAAGUCAAACUUGACGAUGAAGUCUCUCAUUAUAUGAAAUAGGGUCCAUUUGGCUAUUGAAUUCUCUUGCUGUGGACAACUGUUUUGUAUUCGGUAGAGCGCCAUCAAUGCAGAGCGGCAAAUUUGAUCGGACUGAGUAGUUGGGAAGCUUUGAGAUAGCGACGGUGACGGCCAAGAUAGUAUUCGAGUUUGUUGGGACUAAUAAAUACAUCGACGUACCCAACUCCCAUCACCCCCAUAAAAAGAAACAAAGCCACAUGGGACUCCAACACACCAUAAAUUUUGGUCAUUUUUGGUCAUGCGGGAAUAGUUCAGGUACUAUCGAGUCGGAUCAAUCAUUUUGAAUGAGUCUGUUUGGCGAACUCGAUUGAGAUCGGUUGGUGGUAGUAAGAGGCGGUGGUGCAGUAGUCGCUCUUUUCUACUUUUAUCGACCUUGGGUGAACCAAUAUGGGCGAAGGCUGUUGUGUCUAGCCGAUUUGGCUAUAGCGUCCGCUUGAUGAUUGGUAGAUCGACGAGUAUAGGCCACUUUGAUAUUGGGGUUCCGGGAGGUGACCUCCAUAAUGCUUCCCAAAUAUUCAAGGUAUUGUCAUGGCCAUCUAUGCUUAGGGUUGGGUGUUGUCUUGAUAGGCAGUCAGAGUAGAUGACCGUGAGAGCAUGUAGUCGAGCAGGAAGCUCUACUGCCUCGAAUAGGGCCCUGGCUUCCGAGGCGAUAAUAGAUGCACAAAGGAAUCUUCCCACCCUCCAGUCCACUAGGGUCCCUUCGGCAUUUCAAUUUGGAGAAUUGUCAUGGUUGAUCCUGUCAAGUGAACAUGGUAACGAUCAAGGUUGUCCCUAAGGCAAAUAUGUGUGCAGUGGAUCAUAUCAUGUUGUUUUACGAGUAACGAUCCCCAAUUUCUUUUACAGCGUUGUUUGAAGCUUUCCACGACAAGCUGAGCAAAGCAGAGAACAAACCCUUCAACAGAAUCUACACAGGACCGAUGAUCCGACUGGAUAGUACCCUACUGUACAAUUUAUGUUGUGUUGGAAUCUAAUUUAAACCGUGUGAUAAAUUCAGAUGAAUAGAGAUAGAAGAAUAGAAGACAACAACCAAAACAUCAACUAAUAAUAAAGCAAAACACAAAUGUCUGACGAAUUCAAGACAUAAAUAAAAACAACCCGACUCUUAAGGUCCUAUAACGGUUAUAAUUCAAAACACCGACGACAUUGUUUCAUAGCAAACAACACGACUAAUCCAAAAUCGGACAACAUUUUCCAAGCGAUCUAUCUAACUCUCGGUCUGCUCCCUCAAUCGACGGAUGGUACUC